Molecule: ribosomal RNA, 464 nt
Filed under: Vreelandella stevensii
Lineage: Bacteria; Pseudomonadati; Pseudomonadota; Gammaproteobacteria; Oceanospirillales; Halomonadaceae
Description: partial 16S ribosomal RNA
Rfam family: Bacterial small subunit ribosomal RNA
Source: RNAcentral
CCUACGGGAGGCUGCAGUGGGGAAUAUUGGACAAUGGGGGCAACCCUGAUCCAGCCAUGCCGCGUGUGUGAAGAAGGCCCUCGGGUUGUAAAGCACUUUCAGUGAGGAAGAACGCCUGGUGGUUAAUACCCAUCAGGAAAGACAUCACUCACAGAAGAAGCACCGGCUAACUCCGUGCCAGCAGCCGCGGUAAUACGGAGGGUGCGAGCGUUAAUCGGAAUUACUGGGCGUAAAGCGCGCGUAGGUGGCUUGAUAAGCCGGUUGUGAAAGCCCCGGGCUCAACCUGGGAACGGCAUCCGGAACUGUCAAGCUAGAGUGCAGGAGAGGAAGGUAGAAUUCCCGGUGUAGCGGUGAAAUGCGUAGAGAUCGGGAGGAAUACCAGUGGCGAAGGCGGCCUUCUGGACUGACACUGACACUGAGGUGCGAAAGCGUGGGUAGCAAACAGGAUUAGAUCCCUUGUAGUC